Molecule: small nucleolar RNA, 107 nt
Organism: Oryctolagus cuniculus (rabbit)
Lineage: Eukaryota; Metazoa; Chordata; Mammalia; Lagomorpha; Leporidae
Source: Ensembl
AGCCUUUUCGUGGUUCAUAAGCGUGAUGAUUGGGUUGUUCACACAGUUGUGUGAGAUGUGCCACCCUCGAAACUUUGUUACAAAUGGGUAUGGUUUUCCAUGUCACU